GUUCCUGCUAAGGCAUUGGAAAUCUCAAGUCUGCCUCACUGCCCACUGUGGGACUCAAACCAUAUGCGCAUCUGCUGCUGCUGCUGGAGCGGGUGGGAUUGGAGAGGGCUUCAUGGUGCUUGUUCUCGAAGUGUUUGUCAUUGGACUGAAGGAGAGAAGCUGAGGGAAAGGUGUUCAGGCAUCAGCUAGGACAACCGUGAGCGAGAUGGACCUGUGCUGGGCAUCUGGCCACCUGCUGAGGAAGGUGUGGCCUCGAGCGGGUGGCUCUACGACCAGGCCAGAGACUUCGUGUUUUGGCCUAAGGUGUGGAGCCGGGUUAUCUGCAGAACACACGGAGGUGCUGGAGCUAAGCCUGAAUGCAAGUCAUGCACGGGCAGCUUGAUGAGCAUAUCUGGAGUCCUGGGUGAAUGAACUGCCAACCUGGCCACUCUGGUCCCUGGUCUAUCCAUGCGCCAGCAAGCAAAGGAUGAAUUCCGGGUCCUCCAGGUGGCAGGAGUGGGCUGUAUCCUUAGGACCUGCACUGGAGCCAUGGACAACAUCCAUUCUAAUUGUUCAACAGACUCAGACUAACCCACCCGAGUUCCACACAGUCCA
This 594-nucleotide long non-coding RNA is filed under the name Fukomys damarensis (Damara mole-rat). Its description in RNAcentral is "lncRNA (ENSFDAG00000024037.1)". The record is from RNAcentral. Lineage: Eukaryota; Metazoa; Chordata; Mammalia; Rodentia; Bathyergidae.